This 1449-nucleotide ribosomal RNA is filed under the name uncultured organism. Its description in RNAcentral is "SSU rRNA". It matches the Rfam family "Bacterial small subunit ribosomal RNA". The record is from RNAcentral.
AGGAUGAACGCUAGCUACAGGCUUAACACAUGCAAGUCGAGGGGCAGCAUGGUCUUAGCUUGCUAAGGCCGAUGGCGACCGGCGCACGGGUGAGUAACACGUAUCCAACCUGCCGUCUACUCUUGGACAGCCUUCUGAAAGGAAGAUUAAUACAAGAUGGCAUCAUGAGUCCACAUGUUCACAUGAUUAAAGGUAUUCCGGUAGACGAUGGGGAUGCGUUCCAUUAGAUAGUAGGCGGGGUAACGGCCCACCUAGUCUUCGAUGGAUAGGGGUUCUGAGAGGAAGGUCCCCCACAUUGGAACUGAGACACGGUCCAAACUCCUACGGGAGGCAGCAGUGAGGAAUAUUGGUCAAUGGGCGAGAGCCUGAACCAGCCAAGUAGCGUGAAGGAUGACUGCCCUAUGGGUUGUAAACUUCUUUUAUAAAGGAAUAAAGUCGGGUAUGCAUACCCGUUUGCAUGUACUUUAUGAAUAAGGAUCGGCUAACUCCGUGCCAGCAGCCGCGGUAAUACGGAGGAUCCGAGCGUUAUCCGGAUUUAUUGGGUUUAAAGGGAGCGUAGAUGGAUGUUUAAGUCAGUUGUGAAAGUUUGCGGCUCAACCGUAAAAUUGCAGUUGAUACUGGAUAUCUUGAGUGCAGUUGAGGCAGGCGGAAUUCGUGGUGUAGCGGUGAAAUGCUUAGAUAUCACGAAGAACUCCGAUUGCGAAGGCAGCCUGCUAAGCUGCAACUGACAUUGAGGCUCGAAAGUGUGGGUAUCAAACAGGAUUAGAUACCCUGGUAGUCCACACGGUAAACGAUGAAUACUCGCUGUUUGCGAUAUACGGCAAGCGGCCAAGCGAAAGCGUUAAGUAUUCCACCUGGGGAGUACGCCGGCAACGGUGAAACUCAAAGGAAUUGACGGGGGCCCGCACAAGCGGAGGAACAUGUGGUUUAAUUCGAUGAUACGCGAGGAACCUUACCCGGGCUUAAAUUGCAGAUGAAUUACGGUGAAAGCCGUAAGCCGCAAGGCAUCUGUGAAGGUGCUGCAUGGUUGUCGUCAGCUCGUGCCGUGAGGUGUCGGCUUAAGUGCCAUAACGAGCGCAACCCUUGUUGUCAGUUACUAACAGGUUCCGCUGAGGACUCUGACAAGACUGCCAUCGUAAGAUGUGAGGAAGGUGGGGAUGACGUCAAAUCAGCACGGCCCUUACGUCCGGGGCUACACACGUGUUACAAUGGGGGGUACAGAGGGCCGCUACCACGCGAGUGGAUGCCAAUCCCCAAAACCUCUCUCAGUUCGGACUGGAGUCUGCAACCCGACUCCACGAAGCUGGAUUCGCUAGUAAUCGCGCAUCAGCCACGGCGCGGUGAAUACGUUCCCGGGCCUUGUACACACCGCCCGUCAAGCCAUGGGAGCCGGGGGUACCUGAAGUGCGUAACCGCGAGGAGCGCCCUAGGGUAAAACUGGUGACUGGG